GUUCAAAAGACAUGCUACAAAUAACCCUGAAUUAUUAAGCAAUUGUAAAAACAAAACUAAAGAAAGCCCAACUGUUUAGCAUCAAAUUUGUACCCUCUAAAAGUGAUACAACUUUCAGCAGUAUGAUAAGUUGAGUCAUUUGUCUUGGUAAUCACACAACCUGAUGCCAACUUCUUAACUCAUCUAGUAUAUAAAUUAGUGCACAAGGGAAUUGGGUAUUUCGCGGUGUAAGUUAAUUGUCACAAACUCUUAGAUUAGUGUGUUGACCAAACAUACAACUACACAACUGUGAGAACUAGAAACAUUAAUUUCCAACCAUAUUAAGCUACAUGGAAUAUAAUGUCAUCACAUAGAAAUUUAUACAAAUAUUCAAAAUUGUCACAUACAGGGCAGCAUCUGAUGGUCACUUGUUUUGUAGCAUCUGAUCGAUUUGAUCAUUCUGGUUGUACAAUUCCACUAUUUUCUUAGCAUAUGAAGGUGUGUACCUGUCAGCUCUUUCUUUUCCCCAAGUGCGGUUUGUGUGCAAGUAGUUCCUGAUGGUAUGGUAGUCAAGCGAAUAACGGGCAAAUUCCAGACCCUUUGGGCCAAUCAAGUUUAGUAUAAAUGCUAUAAAAUUCCCAACAAACUUUGGUGCAGGUUGAGAAGGACCCUUCCCCAAUUUUGCACUGUCAUCUGCCUUGACAGUCUCCAUAACAAAUGGUCUCCUGUCACCACUACUAAUUGUUGGAGUAAUCUCCAAAAGGUCCUUUACCAAACCCAGCAUUUCUCUCCCUCGUUCAUUUCUGCAAUUUGAACAAUUCAAAGAGAGGGGGAAAGGAUUCAACUUUUCACAUGAAGACAUUAGUAAGUGACAAACAUAAUUAAUUUAGAAGCUCCUAGAAUACUUCUUAUAUCGUGCUACCUGACUGUUACAUAUUGUGGAUGUUGUGUCAUGCUGACUCCAGGAUAUUUUGGCACACCCAUAUAACCAACCACCAGAUCCUGGACAUGGAUGAGUAAAGCAUUAAUCAAAAUCAGGUCAUGUCAGGAAAUAAGUGUUAACAGUUCUCUUUCUGCGUUCUUGCAAGUAAUCUUUGUAGUAGAACAGUUGCUCACAUCCAGUAAAAGGCAAAACUAAAUUCAUGUAACCUAAUUCUACAUGUGCAAGUUACUAAUUGUUACAACGGUGCAAGCCAUCUGCGAGAGAGAGGGGGCAAGGGGCUAGAAAUAGAUUAAAUAAAUCAGAAAAAAUGAAAUGUUUGAAGUAAGUUGAUAGAAGCCCACUGCUAAAGCAUUUGUGUAAUCAAAACAGCUGCAGAACAAAAACAAAAAAUUUUGUAGUUAGAAUACCAGCUGCUGCCAUACUAGGUUUAUUAUUCCUCAGCAAAAGUCCGAAAAUUUUAAUUUCUAAAUGUGUUUUUCAUGCUAAAGCAGUUCCCAGACAAUGGCAAAAAUUAUCGAAAGUCUUUAGUCAAUAUGACAUUAGCAACGUCAAAGUAAAUUGAUUAAUCAAAUUGUAUAUACAUUUUCUACUGAUGCGAGUAUUUGAUUAUUCAGUGUAAAUAGUGCUCUGUAAAAAGAACAAGGAAUACCUAUAGCAAGAUGUAGCAAUUACAUCAUCUAACUCGUUUGCUGGCAGACAGACAUAAGGAACCUGCUUUAGUUAAGAUUGGAAAAGAGAUGAAGCAACAAAAAUUAUAGAACUUGGACCAAGAUCAUGUAGAGGGAAAAAAUUACCUCUUCAAUGCGACCAUCCAAGUGCUUCAAGUGGACAGAGAGAGCGAGAGAGUCGAUCAAUGCAAGAGUAUUCAGACUAGGAGAUACUGUUGGCCUUACACCCUUAGCAGCUAAAACUUCAUCUGGCGUCCUGGCUGAUAAGGGCUUUGGAGAGAAUCUGUCACGUGGAUCACUCUGUACACAUAUAACAGCCUAAACCAUGCCAAAUUUCAGCAUCUCAAUUGCACUAGUAGUGACUAUUCCAGUCCAUUGAGCUCUUGCCAUCCAAGAAAGUUAUGUGGAGAACAUAUAAAUUAAAACUUUGCAUCAAUAAUCUACUUUAUAAAUUAAAUAAAGCAUUCUGGUUGUUAGUCAUUGUUCAGAAGUAGUCCAAGCAGAAGGUAAAUUCAUGUGCAAUGACAUAACAUGAAGUAUUUGGUUUGAACAAUAUGUUUAGUGGAAUAAAAAACAAAAAAAAAUUACAAGUAGAUUUACAAAUAAGUAGUAUUCUAAAAACUCAGAUAAGACAUAUUAAAAUGCAAAACAUCAUAAUAAGAACAAACUACAGACCUCCCAAAACUAAAAUAAUCUUGCUGGCAGCUUUAUGAAAAUAUACUGAAUUCUUACAGUUUUCAUCCCAUCUAAAUUUUCAAGUAAUAGCAUAUAUUUACAGUUAUAGCCAGGAAUCGAGAUUUGAAGUCCUGUUAAUGAUGCAGUAAAUAUCUUUUUGAAGAUCCAAUAGUCCAAUUUUACGUCAAAAUUAAGAGAAAUAUGAAGGUAACCUACAAUUUACAAGUGUAAACCAGUAUAAAGGCAUACCUUCUAUAGGCAAACCUAGAAUUUACAAGCACAAGUUCAUGUGAAAAAAAAAUCAGCAAUAGCACAAUAAAAAGGCACACCUUAGGCUUAGUUUUACGAGCGUAUAACAGCUUCUCAUGGACUCCAAUGUACGUAUCAUCAAAAGAAUCCAUCUUCCUCCCUCUAGCAUGAACAAUAGGUUCCAACGGGGUU
Molecule: unclassified non-coding RNA, 2706 nt
Filed under: Hevea brasiliensis (rubber tree)
Lineage: Eukaryota; Viridiplantae; Streptophyta; Magnoliopsida; Malpighiales; Euphorbiaceae
Source: RNAcentral